This 545-nucleotide ribosomal RNA is filed under the name uncultured bacterium. RNAcentral describes it as "bacterial SSU rRNA". It matches the Rfam family "Bacterial small subunit ribosomal RNA", at positions 775 to 1319 of the family's 1533-position model. The record is from RNAcentral.
AGUAAAUAGAUACCCGGGUAGUCCACGCCGUAAACGAUGAAUACUAGGUGUAGGGGUUGUCAUGACCUCUGUGCCGCCGCUAAACGCAUUAAGUACUCCGCCUGGGGAGUACGGUCGCAAGAUUAAAACUCAAAGGAAUUGACGGGGGCCCGCACAAGCAGCGGAGCAUGUGGUUUAAAUUCGAAGCAACGCGAAGAACCUUACCUAGACUUGACAUCUCCUGAAUUACUCUGUAAUGGAGGAAGCCCUUCGGGGCAGGAAGACAGGUGGUGCAUGGUUGUCGUCAGCUCGUGUCGUGAGAUGUUGGGUUAAGUCCCGCAACGAGCGCAACCCUUAUUGUUAGUUGCUACCAUUAAGUUGAGCACUCUAGCGAGACUGCCCGGGUUAACCGGGAGGAAGGUGGGGAUGACGUCAAAUCAUCAUGCCCCUUAUGUCUAGGGCUACACACGUGCUACAAUGGCUGGUACAGAGAGAUGCUAAACCGCGAGGUGGAGCCAAACUUUAAAACCAGUCUCAGUUCGGAUUGUAGGCUGAAACUCGCCUAC